UUGUCUUGAAGUAGCAGUGAAGAGCCAGAACUGUAUCUACUCAAUCUCUAAGUCCAGUGCCACAUGAGAUAAUAUCUUAUAAGAAACAAUUCAGCCUUAAGCAAUUUUUCCCUCUUCUUUAUGGAAGUUCAAAAUUAGUAUGGGAGAGUCUAAGCUAAUAAGGUUGCAAUGUACAUGUUGUACAUCAAACAAGCAGAGACAACGUGCAAUACAAAAAUUACCUGGCUGCCUAAUAUAGAGCUCCCGGCUAAUAUAUGGGACACGGCAAGCAACUGAUCCAUGCCUGUUGAUUUGAUUUUUGAUUUGACAGGGAUGAGAUUUUCGAUCAUCUGAUGUGACAGUGGCUGCACGGAAGCAUGGAAGAUUGAAGAUGCACACAAAGUAGAAGAGUGAAGACUGAACUUUGCAGAAUGCCUCCAAGCCAUAUACAGAAAUUACUGAACCCAGGACAAGAAAAUAUGUCUAGAAUCUAGGAGGAUAUUCCUUGGAGAGUCAAGUGGCUGACCCCCUCAGUUUAGAAGAGCAUUGUACUUGGCUAAUAGUAUUUAUUCAUGUGUAACACAGAUUGCCAGUAAUGGCACAGAUACCAUCAUGACUGGCUAGUAGAAAGUCUAAAGCUACCAGAUUUUCUAUUUCACGUGAGUCAAAUAGUUGAGACUCAUCAUUCAGCUUUGAGAGCUGUGAAAGUGUUCUUUAAAACUUCGGACAAGGUUAACAAUAAAUUUCUGGUCACCUAUUCCAAUUAUAUAACCCUCAUUGUAGAAACCAUUACCCAGAUGUUGUGCAUAAAAAGUGAAUCAAUAUUUCCUCUGGGUAACUGUCCUGAAUAGCCUAUCAUGGCUUCAUCUUACAUGUUCCUAGGGACAUGCCUCAAUGACACAAUGUCCAAAAAGGGACCCAGGAUCUUGGAUUUCUGAAGUCUCUGACAAUUACCCUGCAGGCACAAGGUAAGUUAAAGUGAGGGAAACAGGUGAAGGCUUGACUUCCCUUGUAAAAAUAACACACCACUGCAGUGUAGGUGCCAUUUAAGAGUAGUGUGCCAAUUAUCUCUUCCUUGAGAAAAGCAAAUGGCCUGGGUGUAGCCAAAUAACUCCUAAAGCUCUUGUGCUGAACCCCUAUUAACCUCAAUAGGGAAGUUACCAGGUUCAAGAGGACAAAGAAGAGAUUUGGAGCCAGCAAAUGAGACAUGUGGUUUUAUAAGGGGCUUACACAGAGGCGAGGGAGUCCAGUGGCAGUAGGCUACAUAGAAAAAUCACCUUAUAUACAGUCCAGUGGUGCAGGCUGGACAAGAUAACAGCCAGUCCAGUGAGCACGCCAGUGAACAGUCCAGUGACAGUGGCCACCUUACAUAGUCCAGUAGCAACAGGCUGGACAGGAUAUCUGCCUUACCGAUAGUCCAGUGGCAGUGGGCUGGGCAAAAUAACCACCUCACCUACAGUCCAGUGGUGGCAGACUGGACAAGAUAUCUAUCUUACACACACACCAGUGGUGGUGGGCUGGAUGAGCUAACCACCUUACUUAUAGUCCAGUGGCAGCAGACUACAGUCCAGUGGUGGCAGGCUGUAGUGAAGGGCUGGACAAGAUAUCCAUCUUACAUGUAGUCCGUUGGUGGUGAACUGGGCAAGAUAAUUGCAUGGCCCAGUGGUGGUGGGCUGGUCAGGAAAGCCACAAUGGCUUACAAACAGCAUUUUCAUUUAUCACCCUCUACUUAUGAACCUCUUCAUCAUAGCCAUCUUUUAACCCAAACUCAGGGCCUCA
Molecule: long non-coding RNA, 1758 nt
Filed under: Homo sapiens (human)
Lineage: Eukaryota; Metazoa; Chordata; Mammalia; Primates; Hominidae
Description: HSALNT0031486
Source: RNAcentral